This 449-nucleotide ribosomal RNA is filed under the name uncultured prokaryote. RNAcentral describes it as "bacterial SSU rRNA". It matches the Rfam family "Bacterial small subunit ribosomal RNA", at positions 355 to 796 of the family's 1533-position model. The record is from RNAcentral.
UGGGGAAUAUUGCACAAUGGGCGCAAGCCUGAUGCAGCCAUGCCGCGUGUGUGAAGAAGGCCUUAGGGUUGUAAAGCACUUUCAGCGAGGAGGAAAGGGAGUCAGUUAAUACCUGUCUCCUGUGACGUUACUCGCAGAAGAAGCACCGGCUAACUCCGUGCCAGCAGCCGCGGUAAUACGGAGGGUGCAAGCGUUAAUCGGAAUUACUGGGCGUAAAGCGUGCGUAGGCGGCUUGUUAAGUUGGAUGUGAAAGCCCCGGGCUCAACCUGGGAACUGCACCCAAAACUGGCAAGCUAGAGUGCGGAAGAGGAGUGUGGAAUUUCCUGUGUAGCGGUGAAAUGCGUAGAUAUAGGAAGGAACACCAGUGGCGAAGGCGACACUCUGGUCUGACACUGACGCUGAGGUACGAAAGCGUGGGGAGCAAACAGGAUUAGAUACCCCCGUAGUCC